RNAcentral lists this ribosomal RNA (468 nucleotides) under uncultured bacterium. Its description in RNAcentral is "partial 16S ribosomal RNA". It matches the Rfam family "Bacterial small subunit ribosomal RNA", at positions 28 to 507 of the family's 1533-position model. The record is from RNAcentral.
GACGAACGCUGGCGGCGUGCUUAACACAUGCAAGUCGAACGGAAAGGCCCUGCGUUUGUGGGGUGCUCGAGUGGCGAACGGGUGAGUAACACGUGAGUAACCUGCCCUUGACUUUGGGAUAACUUCAGGAAACUGGGGCUAAUACCGGAUAGGAGCUCUUGCUGCAUGGUGGGGGUUGGAAAGUUUCGGCGGUGGGGGAUGGACUCGCGGGUUAUCAGCUGGUUGGUGGGGUAGUGGCUUACCACGGCUUUGACGGGUAGCCGGCCUGGGAGGGGAGCCGGCCACAUUGGGCCUAAGAUACGGACCAGACUGCUACCGGCCGCAGCGGUGGAGAAUCUUGCACAAUGGGCCGACGCCUGAUGCGGCAACGCCGCGUGCGGGAUGCCCGCCUUCGGGUUAUAAACCGAUUUCGCCUGUGACGAAGCGUGAGUGACGGUAAUGGGUCAAGAAGCACCGGCUAACUACGUG